GACGAACGCUGGCGGCGUGCUUAACACAUGCAAGUCGAACGGAAAGGCCCUUCGGGGUACUCGAGUGGCGAACGGGUGAGUAACACGUGGGUGAUCUGCCCUGCACUUUGGGAUAAGCCUGGGAAACUGGGUCUAAUACCGGAUAGGACCACGCGCUUCAUGGUGUGUGGUGGAAAGCUUUUGCGGUGUGGGAUGGGCCCGCGGCCUAUCAGCUUGUUGGGGGGGUAAUGGCCUACCAAGGCGACGACGGGUAGCCGGCCUGAGAGGGUGACCGGCCACACUGGGACUGAGAUACGGCCCAGACUCCUACGGGAGGCAGCAGUGGGGAAUAUUGCACAAUGGGCGCAAGCCUGAUGCAGCGACGCCGCGUGAGGGAUGACGGCCUUCGGGUUGUAAACCUCUUUCGCCAGGGACGAAGCGCAAGUGACGGUACCUGGAGAAGAAGGACCGGCCAACUACGUGCCAGCAGCCGCCGUAA
Molecule: ribosomal RNA, 478 nt
Filed under: uncultured bacterium
Lineage: Bacteria
Description: partial 16S ribosomal RNA
Rfam family: Bacterial small subunit ribosomal RNA
Source: RNAcentral